AAAUCUACCCUCUUUAGUCUUACAUACAAGUCUCUCCAUGGCCAAAUCCCUAUUGGCCCUUCAGCUUUGACUUUUAUUAUACCUUUACCUUAACACUAAGCUCCAGAAACCCUAUGCUAUUCUCUGUACACUCAGUUUGCUCCAUGCUUUGGAAUCUUUCCUCUCUCUGGGGUUCCAUCUCUCCUUGUGUGCCUUUUAAUUCCUACUUCAGAUUUCACUUUAAGUAUCAUCUUCCCUGGGAAGUUUUCCCAGACUCUCCCCACUGCCUUUGCUGAGCUGAUCCUGUGUGUUUUGCUGCUGAAUUUUGGUGUAUGAUCACCCUCCUUUAGCCAUCUCUCUGAUGGCAGUGAGCUCCAUGUGGUCAGUACCAUUAUCUGGCCCAUCCUGGGACCCAGAGAAAGCACAAAGGAGGGCAUAACCCGGUCUCACCAAAUACCUGUUGAUUGAUUGGACAAAGGUGACCGCGAGUGGUUCUGGGACUUGGCUACGGGAACCAUGAAGGAGCGUUCCUGGCCAGCUGUUGGGAACUGCUCCUCUGCCCUGAGAUGGCUGGGCCGCUACUACUGCUUCCAGGGUAACCAAUUCCUGCGCUUCGACCCUGUCAGGGGAGAGGUGCCUCCCAGGUACCCGCGGGAUGUCCGAGACUACUUCAUGCCCUGCCCUGGCAGAGGCCAUGGACACAGGAAUGGGACUGGCCAUGGGAACAGUACCCACCAUGGCCCUGAGUAUAUGCGCUGUAGCCCACAUCUAGUCUUGUCUGCACUGACGUCUGACAACCAUGGUGCCACCUAUGCCUUCAGUGG
This 803-nucleotide small RNA is filed under the name Pan troglodytes (chimpanzee). RNAcentral's name for it is "retained intron". Lineage: Eukaryota; Metazoa; Chordata; Mammalia; Primates; Hominidae. The record is from RNAcentral.